GAUUAAUACCUGAUGGUAUGAUGAGAUUGCAUGAUAGCAUCAUUAAAGAUUUAUCGGUGUACGAUGGGGAUGCGUUCCAUUAGGUAGUAGGCGGGGUAACGGCCCACCUAGCCAACGAUGGAUAGGGGUUCUGAGAGGAAGGUCCCCCACAUUGGAACUGAGACACGGUCCAAACUCCUACGGGAGGCAGCAGUGAGGAAUAUUGGUCAAUGGACGAGAGUCUGAACCAGCCAAGUAGCGUGAAGGAUGAAGGUCCUACGGAUUGUAAACUUCUUUUAUAAGGGAAUAAACCCUCCCACGUGUGGGAGCUUGUAUGUACCUUAUGAAUAAGCAUCGGCUAACUCCGUGCCAGCAGCCGCGGUAAUACGUAGGUGGCGAGCGUUAUCCGGAUUUACUGGGUGUAAAGGGCGCGUAGGCGGGAAUGCAAGUCAGAUGUGAAAUCCAAGGGCUCAACCCUUGAACUGCAUUUGAAACUGUAUUUCUUGAGUGUCGGAGAGGUUGACGGAAUUCCUAGUGUAGCGGUGAAAUGCGUAGAUAUUAGGAGGAACACCAGUGGCGAAGGCGGUCAACUGGACGAUAACUGACGCUGAGGCGCGAAAGCGUGGGGAGCAAACAGGAUUAGAU
This 624-nucleotide ribosomal RNA is filed under the name uncultured bacterium. Its description in RNAcentral is "bacterial SSU rRNA". It matches the Rfam family "Bacterial small subunit ribosomal RNA", at positions 161 to 783 of the family's 1533-position model. The record is from RNAcentral.